This 300-nucleotide long non-coding RNA is filed under the name Musa acuminata (dwarf banana). RNAcentral's name for it is "long non-coding RNA (MACU_LNC011042)". Lineage: Eukaryota; Viridiplantae; Streptophyta; Magnoliopsida; Zingiberales; Musaceae. The record is from RNAcentral.
UUUCGUAUAAAUAUGCAUUACCUCGAAAUCCGUCUCGGGCCCUCUCCCCAACAAAAUUAACUUCAAACUAGCAACUCUUUAACGAACACCAAAUGAAAUCAUUCCUUUUACAAAAAAAAUUAUCUUCAAAAACAAUGCCGCAAUAUUACUAAAUGAGCCAAAAUUUUACUGAAGCAAGAAAGCUGUCUCAUAACUCAAUCAAGAAAACCUGUCUUCUGCAGCACGACAUUGCGAACCCGGCGCAGAUCCCUCCCCUUGAGAGUCCUCCCGGCUCCCUUCAACACCGAGAAGGGGAUCAUC